RNAcentral lists this unclassified non-coding RNA (323 nucleotides) under uncultured Geminibasidiales. Its description in RNAcentral is "sequence contains 5.8S rRNA gene, ITS2, 28S rRNA gene". The stretch from base 1 to 52 matches the Rfam family "5.8S ribosomal RNA", at positions 103 to 154 of the family's 154-position model. Lineage: Eukaryota; Fungi; Basidiomycota; Geminibasidiomycetes. The record is from RNAcentral.
AACGCACCUUGCGCCCUCUGGUAUUCCGGAGGGCAUGCCUGUUUGAGUGUCGCGAACACCUCAACCCUCCAAUGUUUUUUUCGCAUUGAAGGCGUUGGUAGUGAGCGCUGCCGGACCUCGGAUCGGCUCGCUUUAAAAUCAUUAGCUGGAUCCAUUCUGACCUGGUUCUACUCGGCGUAAUAAGUUAUUAUCGUCGAGGACGCCGGCCUUGCAGGCAGGCGGCCACAGUAAGGAUGUUUGAACCGCUUCCAACACGUCUUGCUCUUGUAGCAAACGCUUGAACCUCUGACCUCAAAUCAGGCAGGACUACCCGCUGAACUUAA